AAGGAUAUAGCUCAGUGAUAGAGUAUGCGCUUAGUAUGCACGAGGUCCUGGGUUCAAUCCCCAGUACCUUA
RNAcentral lists this transfer RNA (71 nucleotides) under Camelus bactrianus (Bactrian camel). It matches the Rfam family "tRNA". Rfam says of the family: Transfer RNA (tRNA) molecules are approximately 80 nucleotides in length. Their secondary structure includes four short double-helical elements and three loops (D, anti-codon, and T loops). The record is from Rfam by way of RNAcentral. Lineage: Eukaryota; Metazoa; Chordata; Mammalia; Artiodactyla; Camelidae. RNAcentral also lists the same sequence under 2 other names.